This 801-nucleotide ribosomal RNA is filed under the name Globigerinoides conglobatus. RNAcentral's name for it is "SSU rRNA". It matches the Rfam family "Eukaryotic small subunit ribosomal RNA", at positions 1313 to 1825 of the family's 1831-position model. Lineage: Eukaryota; Foraminifera; Rotaliida; Globigerinidae. The record is from RNAcentral.
GUUUCAAGCAAAUCUGUCUCUGAGUGUGAACUGUAUGUCUUCGGAUAUGCGACUAUCGCUCUAGACAACUAUGAUCUGCUUGUAGCCUCUGGUACUCUUUUGAACGCAACGGACGUGAUUGCAACCCCUUGUUGAGUUUGCUUCUCUUAGGAACUCUACGUCUGCUGAACCACCUACCUUAGCGGGUAGGUGGUGAGGUGGAUAAACUCGGGGGACUGCUGACUAUAACCAUUUCUCAAAACAGAGGAAGGUUGCGGCAAUAACAGGUCUGUGAUGCCCUCAGAUGUCCCGGGCUGCACACGUGCUACUAUGAGUAGCGCAGUGUGCACAUUUUGAAGAGUGAUAGGUGCUGGGGAUUGUAUAUUUCAUGGGCUCGUCCUGGUAACCAACCGCCCCCAGCAUCUAUCAACCUUCCCUUUACAGGGUGGGUAACCUCUUCGAAAUGCUGGUUUGAUUCUCUUAGUGUUUGUCAUUUUAUUCCUCGUCGCAGCUGCUCUAGGACAUAGUGAACACUGUAAAGUGAUUCCCGUCUUAGGCUUGUGACGCGUGCUUUUCCUGGUUGACUCAUCGUGGGAACUGAUUCUUGUAAUUAUUUGUCACGGGUCAACCAGGAAUGCCUUGUACUGGCGGCUCAUUAAACCGCUCGGUAUACGUCCCUGCCCUUUGUACACACCGCCCGUCGCUCUUACCGAUGACUUUGACUGUGAGUAGGCUGGACCGUAAUGGGAAAGCUGUCAAACAGUUAGAGUUAAAGGAAAGAGAAGUCGUAACAAGGCAUCAGUAGGUGAACUGCCAAAAGGA